Long non-coding RNA from Drosophila ananassae, 1643 nucleotides. RefSeq lists it as uncharacterized. The transcript has 5 exons. The record is from RefSeq and is a predicted model, not a curated record. Lineage: Eukaryota; Metazoa; Arthropoda; Insecta; Diptera; Drosophilidae.
UAUGCGCUCGAACUCGGUAAUGCUCACAUCAUGGGCGAGAGUGGAUCCGGAUGGCCCGGAACAGGUUGCCUCGUCAGUGGGGUGGCAGUGGGCGGCAGGCGGUGGGUGGCUGUCAGUGGGUGGCUUUGGGUGAACCCCGAGCAAGUCACAGUGUGUUUUUUCGGCCUUAAAAGUGCGUGCCCCUGAUUGGGCGUAGGGGAUAUCCCCCACUUCCGCCCGGACUUGGAUCCGGAACCGACAUCAACAAAUUCCACACGGCAGCAACAACUCAUGUGCCGGCGUACGCCCGAAACUAUUUCGCCAGUGCCAAAGUUUACUGUCACGUGCUUGUCAACAUCUUGGGCUGUUUUAUAACGCCAUGACCCCCGGGCAACCGUGAAGCUUUACAAGUGACCCCGGCCCUGUGGACUUUGCACCCGUCAGCGUCGUCGUCGAAGACGUCGCCCCAGCACUUCAGGCCCGGCCAACGGCAAUAUGCCUACAAGUCACUACAAACUACUAAAAAAUACAUGUUAAGAGGCACUUUCAGGAUGAUUCCAGGACACAGCCUAGCCGCAUUUCCUACUGGGCACAAAGGACAUCCUCGUCUACAUCAAACGAGAGCGCCCACAAGGGAUACAGUUGUUAACGUGGCCAAGAAGCAGCCCCGUCUAUGGCGACGGCGGUGGCAAAAACACAAACAUGGCAACCGAGUGUCGUGAAGGCUGCGCUAUGGCGGAGGUGGAGGAAGGACGAAGGACCAACAGCGCAGGACGCCAGAAGUUUAAAGGAGCAGUAGCAUGAGCAGGAGCUGGAGCAUGAGCACUUUAUGUGCAUAUAAUGUCCACUCACACAGGGACACUAUUCAAGUGGAGGAGUGUCGUCGGGGAUCUUGCGGGGAAUUGUUAAUAUUGUCUGGGCCUGUAAGCAGCAUUUACAUGCUGGCCGACACCACGUACUACAUACGUCCGGGUUGAUGGACGGUCUCCGGCUCGUCCUGGAUGAUGCAGGCUUUAAGUAGGCUCAUCCCCGUUCCUUUCUUGGCUGCCAGACAUUGUUUUAAAAAUAUGUACAUGCAUGCAUUUUGCAGAUGUUGAAUUAACUGACGAAACCGAAAGCUUUCAUUAAAAGAGUAGGAUGGAUGCUGGACAUGGACAGAGGGAUGUGGAAAAGCCCAAAUGCCGAUGCAUUCUUGAUUCCCAACAUUAAGACAAAAUAAACUUGAUUUUGGUAUAAAAUUGAUUCAUUCAUUUUCGAUCCAUUGAGUAAGAUUCUUAUCCGAUGAGCCGGGCCCAGCAUCAUCACUUACACUUCCAAAGUGUGCACAUCCAACAGAUGGCCCGAAAAGCAAGAUGCCUAGGACGGAGAGUGAAAGGACUAUAAAAUGUACAUUCAAUGCUCAGGGAAUAAACAUGAUAUUAUACUCAACUUCUGAAGGAUGGUUUUUGAUGGAUCUUUAACAAGCACUUCAGGACCUAUUAGAUUGCUUAUUAGACUUUCCCACGAUUAUUGUAAUCUUGAAACUAUUUAAGUUUUCAAAAUAUCACUUACCUCCCAACUAUUUCUCACACUCUUAAGCCUUUGACAAAAAAUAAUACCUCCACUAUCUUAACUAACAAACAAAGAAAUGUAUUUUUUUCAAUAAAGUGGUUGGUUGCCUUAGA